GGUUAAGCGACUAAGCGUACACGGUGGAUGCCCUGGCAGUCAGAGGCGAUGAAGGACGUGCUAAUCUGCGAUAAGCGCCGGUAAGGUGAUAUGAACCGUUAUAACCGGCGAUUUCCGAAUGGGGAAACCCAGUGUGAUUCGUCACACUAUCAUUAACUGAAUCCAUAGGUUAAUGAGGCGAACCGGGGGAACUGAAACAUCUAAGUACCCCGAGGAAAAGAAAUCAACCGAGAUUCCCCCAGUAGCGGCGAGCGAACGGGGAGGAGCCCAGAGCCUGAAUCAGCAUGUGUGUUAGUGGAAGCGUCUGGAAAGGCGCGCGAUACAGGGUGACAGCCCCGUACACAAAAGCGCAUGUGCUGUGAGCUCGAUGAGUAGGGCGGGACACGUGGUAUCCUGUCUGAAUAUGGGGGGACCAUCCUCCAAGGCUAAAUACUCCUGACUGACCGAUAGUGAACCAGUACCGUGAGGGAAAGGCGAAAAGAACCCCGGCGAGGGGAGUGAAAAAGAACCUGAAACCGUGUACGUACAAGCAGUGGGAGCACCCUUCGGGGUGUGACUGCGUACCUUUUGUAUAAUGGGUCAGCGACUUAUAUUCUGUAGCAAGGUUAACCGUAUAGGGGAGCCGCAGGGAAACCGAGUCUUAACCGGGCGUUAAGUUGCAGGGUAUAGACCCGAAACCCGGUGAUCUAGCCAUGGGCAGGUUGAAGGUUGGGUAACACUAACUGGAGGAAUCGAACCGACUAAUGUUGAAAAAUUAGCGGAUGACCUGUGGCUGGGGGUGAAAGGCCAAUCAAACCGGGAGAUAGCUGGUUCUCCCCGAAAGCUAUUUAGGUAGCGCCUCGUGAAUUCAUCUCCGGGGGUAGAGCACUGUUUCGGCUAGGGGGCCAUCCCGGCUUACCAACCCGAUGCAAACUGCGAAUACCGGAGAAUGUUAUCACGGGAGACACACGGCGGGUGCUAACGUCCGUCGUGAAGAGGGAAACAACCCAGACCGCCAGCUAAGGUCCCAAAGUCAUGGUUAAGUGGGAAACGAUGUGGGAAGGCCCAGACAGCCAGGAUGUUGGCUUAGAAGCAGCCAUCAUUUAAAGAAAGCGUAAUAGCUCACUGGUCGAGUCGGCCUGCGCGGAAGAUGUAACGGGGCUAAACCAUGCACCGAAGCUGCGGCAGCGACACUGUGUGUUGUUGGGUAGGGGAGCGUUCUGUAAGCCUGUGAAGGUGUGUCGUGAGGCAUGCUGGAGGUAUCAGAAGUGCGAAUGCUGACAUAAGUAACGAUAAAGCGGGUGAAAAGCCCGCUCGCCGGAAGACCAAGGGUUCCUGUCCAACGUUAAUCGGGGCAGGGUGAGUCGACCCCUAAGGCGAGGCCGAAAGGCGUAGUCGAUGGGAAACGGGUUAAUAUUCCCGUACUUGGUGUUACUGCGAAGGGGGGACGGAGAAGGCUAUGUUGGCCGGGCGACGGUUGUCCCGGUUUAAGCGUGUAGGUGUGUGUUCCAGGUAAAUCCGGUUCACUUUAACACUGAGGCGUGAUGACGAGGCACUACGGUGCUGAAGCAACAAAUGCCCUGCUUCCAGGAAAAGCCUCUAAGCAUCAGGUAACACGAAAUCGUACCCCAAACCGACACAGGUGGUCAGGUAGAGAAUACCAAGGCGCUUGAGAGAACUCGGGUGAAGGAACUAGGCAAAAUGGUGCCGUAACUUCGGGAGAAGGCACGCUGACACGUAGGUGAAGUGAUUUACUCAUGGAGCUGAAGUCAGUCGAAGAUACCAGCUGGCUGCAACUGUUUAUUAAAAACACAGCACUGUGCAAACACGAAAGUGGACGUAUACGGUGUGACGCCUGCCCGGUGCCGGAAGGUUAAUUGAUGGGGUCAGCGCAAGCGAAGCUCCUGAUCGAAGCCCCGGUAAACGGCGGCCGUAACUAUAACGGUCCUAAGGUAGCGAAAUUCCUUGUCGGGUAAGUUCCGACCUGCACGAAUGGCGUAAUGAUGGCCAGGCUGUCUCCACCCGAGACUCAGUGAAAUUGAACUCGCUGUGAAGAUGCAGUGUACCCGCGGCAAGACGGAAAGACCCCGUGAACCUUUACUAUAGCUUGACACUGAACAUUGAGCCUUGAUGUGUAGGAUAGGUGGGAGGCUUUGAAGUGUGGACGCCAGUCUGCAUGGAGCCGACCUUGAAAUACCACCCUUUAAUGUUUGAUGUUCUAACGUGCACCCGUAAUCCGGGUUGCGGACAGUGUCUGGUGGGUAGUUUGACUGGGGCGGUCUCCUCCUAAAGAGUAACGGAGGAGCACGAAGGUUGGCUAAUCCUGGUCGGACAUCAGGAGGUUAGUGCAAUGGCAUAAGCCAGCUUGACUGCGAGCGUGACGGCGCGAGCAGGUGCGAAAGCAGGUCAUAGUGAUCCGGUGGUUCUGAAUGGAAGGGCCAUCGCUCAACGGAUAAAAGGUACUCCGGGGAUAACAGGCUGAUACCGCCCAAGAGUUCAUAUCGACGGCGGUGUUUGGCACCUCGAUGUCGGCUCAUCACAUCCUGGGGCUGAAGUAGGUCCCAAGGGUAUGGCUGUUCGCCAUUUAAAGUGGUACGCGAGCUGGGUUUAGAACGUCGUGAGACAGUUCGAUCCCUAUCUGCCGUGGGCGCUGGAGAACUGAGGGGGGCUGCUCCUAGUACGAGAGGACCGGAGUGGACGCAUCACUGGUGUUCGGGUUGUCAUGCCAAUGGCACUGCCCGGUAGCUAAAUGCGGAAGAGAUAAGUGCUGAAAGCAUCUAAGCACGAAACUUGCCCCGAGAUGAGUUCUCCCUUGGACUUUAAGUCCACUGAAGGAACGUUGAAGACGACGACGUUGAUAGGCCGGGUGUGUAAGCGCAGCGAUGCGUUGAGCUAACCGGUACUAAUGAACCGUGAGGCUUAACCUU
Molecule: ribosomal RNA, 2906 nt
Filed under: Salmonella enterica subsp. enterica serovar Adelaide
Lineage: Bacteria; Pseudomonadati; Pseudomonadota; Gammaproteobacteria; Enterobacterales; Enterobacteriaceae
Description: 23S ribosomal RNA
Rfam family: Bacterial large subunit ribosomal RNA
Source: RNAcentral